Molecule: ribosomal RNA, 253 nt
Filed under: uncultured bacterium
Lineage: Bacteria
Description: partial 16S ribosomal RNA
Rfam family: Bacterial small subunit ribosomal RNA
Source: RNAcentral
GACGAACCGUGCGAACGUUGUUCGGAAUCACUGGGCUUAAAGGGCGCGUAGGCGGGCUGUCAAGUCUGGGGUGAAAUCCCACGGCUCAACCGUGGAACUGCUGGGCAUACUGGCGAUCUUGGGCCAUUCAGGGGCGACCGGAACAAGCGGUGGAGCGGUGAAAUGCGUAGAUAUCGCUUGGAACGCCGAAGGUGAAAACAGGUCGCUGGGGAUGUGCCGACGCUGAGACACGAAAGCCAGGGGAGCAAACGGG